UUAGAUCUACAUGCAAGUCCAUCAUCUUUUUUCGCUUCAAUUGUUAUAUAUUAUUUUAAUAAACAUCGAGUACCACCCAGAUAGUUCGGUAAAAUUGUAAGCUGUGAUCACUGCGAAUAAGAUAAAGGAAUCGAAGGAUAAACUAUAAUUAACACAGGCUCCUGCCCCGGCUUAGGAUUUUCUAAAUGUAACUCUUCUGCAAGGUCCCUAAGGAAUGUUUUAUAUAAAAAUAUAAAAGAAUCUUUAGUGAUGCGACUAAGACUAUGUAAUAAACAAAAAAAACAAGAUGGAAUGCUAUAGUCGAAAUCCCCGACUAUCAGAUACCCGUUACUCAGCUAGUGUGAAUGCGAACGCGAAAUUUCAUUAAAAAAAACAAGAGGGAACGCUAUAGUCAAGUUCCCCGACUAUCAGAUACCCGUUACUCAGCCAGUGGGAAUGCG
Non-coding RNA from Drosophila melanogaster (fruit fly), 440 nucleotides. NCBI's taxonomy places the organism in Eukaryota, Metazoa, Arthropoda, Insecta, Diptera, Drosophilidae. The record is from Ensembl.